This 800-nucleotide ribosomal RNA is filed under the name Oceanobacillus sp. JSM 073007. RNAcentral's name for it is "bacterial SSU rRNA". It matches the Rfam family "Bacterial small subunit ribosomal RNA", at positions 55 to 822 of the family's 1533-position model. Lineage: Bacteria; Bacillati; Bacillota; Bacilli; Caryophanales; Bacillaceae. The record is from RNAcentral.
CUGCAAGUCGAGCGCAGGAAGCAAGCUGAUCCCCUUCGGGGGUGACGCUUGUGGAAUGAGCGGCGGACGGGUGAGUAACACGUGGGCAACCUGCCUGUAAGACUGGGAUAACCCCGGGAAACCGGGGCUAAUACCGGAUAAUACUUUCUUUUGCAUAAAGGAAAGUUGAAAGGCGGCUUCGGCUGUCACUUACAGAUGGGCCCGCGGCGCAUUAGCUAGUUGGUGAGGUAACGGCUCACCAAGGCGACGAUGCGUAGCCGACCUGAGAGGGUGAUCGGCCACACUGGGACUGAGACACGGCCCAGACUCCUACGGGAGGCAGCAGUAGGGAAUCUUCCGCAAUGGACGAAAGUCUGACGGAGCAACGCCGCGUGAGUGAUGAAGGUUUUCGGAUCGUAAAACUCUGUUGUUAGGGAAGAACAAGUUGGGUAGUAACUGACCCAACCUUGACGGUACCUAACCAGAAAGCCACGGCUAACUACGUGCCAGCAGCCGCGGUAAUACGUAGGUGGCAAGCGUUGUCCGGAAUUAUUGGGCGUAAAGCGCUCGCAGGCGGUCCUUUAAGUCUGAUGUGAAAUCUCGCGGCUCAACCGCGAACGGUCAUUGGAAACUGGAGGACUUGAGUACAGAAGAGGAGAGUGGAAUUCCACGUGUAGCGGUGAAAUGCGUAGAGAUGUGGAGGAACACCAGUGGCGAAGGCGACUCUCUGGUCUGUAACUGACGCUGAGGAGCGAAAGCGUGGGGAGCGAACAGGAUUAGAUACCCUGGUAGUCCACGCCGUAAACGAUGAGUGCUAGGUG